This 439-nucleotide ribosomal RNA is filed under the name uncultured bacterium. RNAcentral's name for it is "partial 16S ribosomal RNA". It matches the Rfam family "Bacterial small subunit ribosomal RNA", at positions 339 to 795 of the family's 1533-position model. The record is from RNAcentral.
CUACGGGGGGCUCCAGUGAGGAAUAUUGCACAAUGGGGGGAACCCUGAUGCAGCAACGCCGCGUGGAGGAUGACGCAUUUCGGUGUGUAAACUCCUUUUAUAUGUCAAGAAAAUGACGGUAGCAUAUGAAUAAGCACCGGCUAACUCCGUGCCAGCAGCCGCGGUAAUACGGAGGGUGCAAGCGUUACUCGGAAUCACUGGGCGUAAAGGACGCGUAGGCGGGCUUGUAAGUCAGGUGUGAAAUCCUACAGCUUAACUGUAGAACUGCACUUGAAACUACGAGCCUAGAGUAUGGGAGGGGCAGAUGGAAUUAGUGGUGUAGGGGUAAAAUCCGUAGAUAUCACUAGGAAUACCUAAAGCGAAGGCGAUCUGCUGGAACAUAACUGACGCUAAGGCGUGAAAGCGUGGGGAGCAAACAGGAUUAGAUACCCUCGUAGUC